UACGUAGGGGGCAAGCGUUGUCCGGAAUCAUUGGGCGUAAAGAGCGUGUAGGCGGCCCGAUAAGUCCGCCGUGAAAGUCCAGGGCUCAACCCUGGAAUGCCGGUGGAAACUGUCGGGCUGGAGUCCGGAAGAGGCGAGUGGAAUUCCUGGUGUAGCGGUGAAAUGCGCAGAUAUCAGGAGGAACACCAGUGGCGAAGGCGACUACCUGGCCUGUUCUUGACGCUGAGGCGCGAAAGCUAGGGGAGCAAACAGG
RNAcentral lists this ribosomal RNA (253 nucleotides) under uncultured bacterium. RNAcentral's name for it is "partial 16S ribosomal RNA". It matches the Rfam family "Bacterial small subunit ribosomal RNA", at positions 524 to 776 of the family's 1533-position model. The record is from RNAcentral.